Molecule: ribosomal RNA, 497 nt
Filed under: uncultured bacterium
Lineage: Bacteria
Description: partial 16S ribosomal RNA
Rfam family: Bacterial small subunit ribosomal RNA
Source: RNAcentral
GACGAACGCUGGCGGCGUGCCUAAUACAUGCAAGUAGAACGCUGAAGGGAGGAGCUUCCUCUUCUUGGAUGAGUUGCGAACGGGUGAGUAACGCGUAGGUAACCUGCCUUGUAGCGGGGGAUAACUAUUGGAAACGAUAGCUAAUACCGCAUAACAAUGGAUGACACAUGUCAUUUAUUUGAAAGGGGCAAUUGCUCCACUACAAGAUGGACCUGCGUUGUAUUAGCUAGUAGGUGAGGUAAUGGCUCACCUAGGCGACGAUACAUAGCCGACCUGAGAGGGUGAUCGGCCACACUGGGACUGAGACACGGCCCAGACUCCUACGGGAGGCAGCAGUAGGGAAUCUUCGGCAAUGGGGGCAACCCUGACCGAGCAACGCCGCGUGAGUGAAGAAGGUUUUCGGAUCGUAAAGCUCUGUUGUAAGUCAAGAACGGGUGUGAGAGUGGAAAGUUCACACUGUGACGGUAGCUUACCAGAAAGGGACGGCUAACUACGUG